Molecule: ribosomal RNA, 1245 nt
Filed under: Janthinobacterium sp. LeLB46
Lineage: Bacteria; Pseudomonadati; Pseudomonadota; Betaproteobacteria; Burkholderiales; Oxalobacteraceae
Description: bacterial SSU rRNA
Rfam family: Bacterial small subunit ribosomal RNA
Source: RNAcentral
AGUGGCGAACGGGUGAGUAAUAUAUCGGAACGUACCCUGGAGUGGGGGAUAACGUAGCGAAAGUUACGCUAAUACCGCAUACGAUCUAAGGAUGAAAGUGGGGGAUCGCAAGACCUCAUGCUCGUGGAGCGGCCGAUAUCUGAUUAGCUAGUUGGUAGGGUAAAAGCCUACCAAGGCAUCGAUCAGUAGCUGGUCUGAGAGGACGACCAGCCACACUGGAACUGAGACACGGUCCAGACUCCUACGGGAGGCAGCAGUGGGGAAUUUUGGACAAUGGGCGCAAGCCUGAUCCAGCAAUGCCGCGUGAGUGAAGAAGGCCUUCGGGUUGUAAAGCUCUUUUGUCAGGGAAGAAACGGUGAGAGCUAAUAUCUUUUGCUAAUGACGGUACCUGAAGAAUAAGCACCGGCUAACUACGUGCCAGCAGCCGCGGUAAUACGUAGGGUGCAAGCGUUAAUCGGAAUUACUGGGCGUAAAGCGUGCGCAGGCGGUUUUGUAAGUCUGAUGUGAAAUCCCCGGGCUCAACCUGGGAAUUGCAUUGGAGACUGCAAGGCUAGAAUCUGGCAGAGGGGGGUAGAAUUCCACGUGUAGCAGUGAAAUGCGUAGAUAUGUGGAGGAACACCGAUGGCGAAGGCAGCCCCCUGGGUCAAGAUUGACGCUCAUGCACGAAAGCGUGGGGAGCAAACAGGAUUAGAUACCCUGGUAGUCCACGCCCUAAACGAUGUCUACUAGUUGUCGGGUCUUAAUUGACUUGGUAACGCAGCUAACGCGUGAAGUAGACCGCCUGGGGAGUACGGUCGCAAGAUUAAAACUCAAAGGAAUUGACGGGGACCCGCACAAGCGGUGGAUGAUGUGGAUUAAUUCGAUGCAACGCGAAAAACCUUACCUACCCUUGACAUGGCUGGAAUUCCCGAGAGAUUGGGGAGUGCUCGAAAGAGAACCAGUACACAGGUGCUGCAUGGCUGUCGUCAGCUCGUGUCGUGAGAUGUUGGGUUAAGUCCCGCAACGAGCGCAACCCUUGUCAUUAGUUGCUACGAAAGGGCACUCUAAUGAGACUGCCGGUGACAAACCGGAGGAAGGUGGGGAUGACGUCAAGUCCUCAUGGCCCUUAUGGGUAGGGCUUCACACGUCAUACAAUGGUACAUACAGAGCGCCGCCAACCCGCGAGGGGGAGCUAAUCGCAGAAAGUGUAUCGUAGUCCGGAUUGUAGUCUGCAACUCGACUGCAUGAAGUUGGAAUCGGCUAGUA